UGGGGAAUAUUGCGCAAUGGGCGAAAGCCUGACGCAGCGACGCCGCGUGAGGGAUGAAGGUUUUCGGAUCGUAAACCUCUGUCAGAAGGGAAGAAACCGCACUGUGCUAAUCAGCAGUGCCUUGACGGUACCUUCAAAGGAAGCACCGGCUAACUCCGUGCCAGCAGCCGCGGUAAUACGGAGGGUGCAAGCGUUAAUCGGAAUUACUGGGCGUAAAGCGCACGUAGGCUGCUUUGUAAGUCAGGGGUGAAAUCCCACGGCUCAACCGUGGAACUGCCUUUGAUACUGCUCAGCUUGAAUCCGGGAGAGGGUGGCGGAAUUCCAGGUGUAGGAGUGAAAUCCGUAGAUAUCUGGAGGAACAUCAGUGGCGAAGGCGGCCACCUGGACCGGUAUUGACGCUGAGGUGCGAAAGCGUGGGGAGCAAACAGG
Molecule: ribosomal RNA, 429 nt
Filed under: Fusobacteriota bacterium
Lineage: Bacteria; Fusobacteriati; Fusobacteriota
Description: Fusobacteria bacterium partial 16S ribosomal RNA
Rfam family: Bacterial small subunit ribosomal RNA
Source: RNAcentral